CGAAAGCCUGACGGAGCAAGACCGCGUGAGGGAGGAAGGCUCUUGGGUUGUAAACCUCUUUUCUCAGGGAAGAAGCUCUGACGGUACCUGAGGAAUCAGCCUCGGCUAACUCCGUGCCAGCAGCCGCGGUAAUACGGAAGAUGCAAGUGUUAUCCGGAAUCACUGGGCGUAAAGCGUCUGUAGGUGGUUUAAUAAGUCAACUGUUAAAUCUUGAGGCUCAACCUCAAAAUCGCAGUCGAAACUAUUAGACUAGAGUAUAGUAGGGGUAAAGGGAAUUUCCAGUGGAGCGGUGAAAUGCGUAGAGAUUGGAAAGAACACCGAUGGCGAAGGCACUUUACUGGGCUAUUACUGACACUCAGAGACGAAAGCUAGGGUAGCA
Molecule: ribosomal RNA, 379 nt
Filed under: uncultured cyanobacterium
Lineage: Bacteria; Bacillati; Cyanobacteriota
Description: bacterial SSU rRNA
Rfam family: Bacterial small subunit ribosomal RNA
Source: RNAcentral